UUGUUUAUAGUUUUAAGCAUUUUGAUUUAUUCUGAUACUUUGCAGGUGAUCGUGAAGAAAAUCAAACGCCGCAAAACUGACUCGCUCCCUGGUUCUGUAGCCCCUCCUUUCCUUUCUCACCCCAACUUGAAUUAACAUAUAACCUUCGGUAAGAACUAAGAAAAUCAUGUCAUUCAACUUCUACACUCCACGUUGCAAUGCAAAAAAUCUUCUCUCGAUCUACCAGAUCAUUAUUGGAAAAGAAGAGUUGGAUAACUUUUGCGUGCUUGAAUAAUACACCUGCUCAGUCAGAACAUAAAACAGUGUUUCUGCACAUGCACGGUUCAUCCAUGUCCAAGAUCAUGUUGUUAAUUGAAAACAUAAAUUACACAUUUUAUUUUACAGGAAGUUAGUGAAUGCCAAGAUAUGAAGUGGGGAACAUUCAAGGCUACACUUACGGAUGCUCUAAUUGAUCAUCUGCAACCUAUCUAGGCAUGAUAUUUUUAAUAUUUAUGCGUGUUCACAGGAUGAUUGACUAUGGUACCUAUAGAAUUAGCUCAGCUCGCUGCUAUUCGGAUGAGUACAAUAAAUCCUCCGAGCAUUCAUAAUGUUCAUGUUGGUUCCACAAUCCUGCACUUUUAUUGGUGCAUACAGGUUA
Lolium perenne is the source of this 637-nucleotide non-coding RNA. NCBI's taxonomy places the organism in Eukaryota, Viridiplantae, Streptophyta, Magnoliopsida, Poales, Poaceae. The record is from RefSeq and is a predicted model, not a curated record.